This 415-nucleotide ribosomal RNA is filed under the name uncultured crenarchaeote. RNAcentral's name for it is "partial 16S ribosomal RNA". It matches the Rfam family "Archaeal small subunit ribosomal RNA", at positions 330 to 747 of the family's 1478-position model. Lineage: Archaea; Thermoproteati; Thermoproteota. The record is from RNAcentral.
GUGCAGCAGUCGCGAAAACUCCGCAAUACGCGAAAGCGUGACGGGGCUACCCCGAGUGCCGUCCGCUGAGGAUGGCUUUUCCCUAGUGUAAAUAGCUGGGGGAAUAAGGAGAGGGCAAGUCUGGUGUCAGCCGCCGCGGUAAUACCAGCUCUUCGGGUGGUAGGGAUGCUUAUUGGGCCUGAAGCAUCCGUAGCCGGCUGGACAAGUCUUCCGUUAAAUCCAGCGAUUCAAUCGUUGGAUUGCGAGGGAUACUGUUGAGCUAGGAGGCGAGAGAGGCCGACGGUAUUCCCGGGGUAGGGGUGAAAUCCUAUAAUCCCGGGAGGAGCACCAGUGGCGAAGGCUGUCGGCUAGAACGCGCUCGACGGUGAGGGACGAAAGCUGGGGGAGCGAACCGGAUUAGAUACCCGGGUAGUCC